Merluccius polli (Benguela hake) is the source of this 73-nucleotide non-coding RNA. Lineage: Eukaryota; Metazoa; Chordata; Actinopteri; Gadiformes; Merlucciidae. The record is from the annotation of a GenBank genome assembly.
CCCUCGUUAGUAUAGUGGUCAUAGCACCCCGUCCUGUCACAGCGGAGACCGGGUUCAAUUCCCCGAACGGGGA